Molecule: long non-coding RNA, 1054 nt
Filed under: Numida meleagris (helmeted guineafowl)
Lineage: Eukaryota; Metazoa; Chordata; Aves; Galliformes; Numididae
Description: lncRNA (ENSNMEG00000010868.1)
Source: RNAcentral
UUUCUUGCAUCACUGCCAUCUCCCUCCAGGAGGACAAGCCGUUGAAAGGACUCCAGCAAAAGUUGUCACAAGUGUUGUGCUGUUUCUCUGCUCUCUUGUUACUAGUGCUACCCAGUGGACUUCGGCCACUUGGGCUAGCAUUGGCAUGGCCAGGUGAGUGGGAGUCCUGCAAGGCCGUUGCAAUAGAGGAAGCAUUUAAGCCUGGCAGCAACACUUGGGGUUUCAAAGAAAUCUGGCUGUGUGCAGAGGCAGCCGCCAUCUUCCUCCUGCCUGCUCCAGCCUGUCACAGGCAAACACGCACUGAUCUCUCCUGGAGACCUUGCACUUUCUUUCCUUCUUUCUAUUUUAUUUUAUUUUUUUUUUAAUUUUUAAUUUCCUCCUCUCUUCUUUCUUGCUGCUGUUUUCCCUUAAUCUAAAAGAAGUCAUUUUGAAUGAAAGUAGAUGAUCCGGUCCUUGUGUAUGGAAAAACUUCAAUUACUGGCACAGAGCAACAGUCUUUGUGCCAGAAGAAUGUUUUGUCACCUCCUCAUUGCCGUGGCACCAUUUCUGCAGUGCCCAGCUGUGGCUGUACAGCAUACACCAGCCAACCUUUCAAGUGACGUAUUUCUGCACUCCAUCCUGGAUUCAGCAGCAUCAUUUCUUGGGUUCCUUUUCUGCACAUCUUCAGGUUAACCUUUCUAGCUUUAAUUAAAAAAAAUGAUGUCAACAAGAAUCAUGUUGUAGGUUUUCCCGGUGCUGAUUGUAACCUUUAUUGUCGGUUAAUUGAUAAAAGUGCUAAAAGUCUGUUUCAGAAUUUCUAUUUCAUAAAAAUGUCUCCUUUGUUGAAGUAUCAAUUAACAGUCUUGAUUCAAAUUUUAUUUCUCUUGCAUGCAGCCAUUUAUUCUUUAAUAAUUGUCUAGAUUCUGACAUUAAAUACUGUAAUUUCUCCUGCUAUGUUUAAAACCACUUCGAAAGGCUUCUAAGUUUUAUUUCCUUCCCAUUUUCUACAGAGAUAGGCAGAGUUAGUUCAUGCUUAGGAAAGUUAAUAAAGUUAUGGAGUAGACUGUGAAAUUCA